UCACAGAGACUGAACUGACAAUCAGGAAGC
RNAcentral lists this non-coding RNA (30 nucleotides) under Rattus norvegicus (Norway rat). The record is from RNAcentral. Lineage: Eukaryota; Metazoa; Chordata; Mammalia; Rodentia; Muridae.